AGACAAUGAGGUUAAGGAAGUUGUUCAUUACAAGUGGAAGAACCCUGACUUACUUGAAUUCAACUUUGAAGCCCACAUUCUCUUUUUGUGUGUGUGUGACAGGGUCUCACUUUGUCACCCAGGCCGCAGUGCAGUGGUGUGAACACAGCUCAUUGCAGUCUCAACCUCCCUGACUCAAGCAAUCCUCCUGCCUUAGCCUCCUGAGUAGCUGGGACUACAAGCAUGUGCCACCACGCCCAGCCGAAGCCCAUAUGUGAAUGUUGAGGCACACAGCCUCCCCAGCCUCUGCCUCACCAAGCCCUCCGCAGGGCCUAGGCACCCUCCCUGGCUGCCCCCUUCCCCUGUCACUCAGGCUCCCCAGCAGCCAAUGUAGUUAACAUGGGGCUACAAAGAGCUGGGCCUGGCCUCAGGUGGGACCGCCUCCCCGGCAUUGCCAUCCCUGCUGCAGAGCUCCCAUGCGAUCAGCCUCCUCUCCAGCUGAGACCACAUCCUCACUCAGCUUCUAGGCUGUUCCUGCUCCCCAUUCCCCUCAGCACAUGGCCCCUGAGAAACUCCUUGCACAAGAAUUUCCCUCUGGAGCCCCACCUCUGGGGAACCUGACCUCAGACAGAGGAGACCAAGCUCUAGGGCAGGAUCCUCCACCUCCCUUGCCCCACCCGUGUGGCCAGCCCGGAGCGCUGCAGACUCCCGCCCAGAUCUGCACUUGUGCCUGCCUUCUGCCAGCCUGCUCCUCCUCCUCCCACUCUCACACCUGCAUUAACAGCACCAGGACUCCAUCCUCCAAGGGCCCCAGCCUCAUCUCCCCUGUCACCAGGAUCCAGCCAGAUCUCAAUCCUAACUGAACCUCCCUCAGAUCCGUCCACUUCCCCCUUCCCCAGGACCACACUCCAUCAUCUCUUGCCUGGACCCUGCGAGAACUUCCUGCCUCCCUGCCUCUAUCCUACCCCCUGCCCCCCGCUGAAGCUGAUGAUAGUUCCGGAAUGCAAAACCCCUUAAUGAUUCCCCCAUUGAUCAAAGUCUUCCACAUGCUUUCAAGGUCCUUGGUGAUCCGGGACCUGCCGCCUUCUGCAGUCUCCCUACUGAUGCCAUAGUUUUGGCUUCUGGCCUCAUAUGUCCUGGGUCAUUUCUCUGGUCACUGGCUCCUCGUUCCCCUGACUCAGCUGGCUCACUGCUUUCCCAUUGGAUCUCAAACCCUGUGUACCUGGGGAGAGCGGAACUCUGUAUGUCUUGUCUUGUGCUAGUAGGCACUCAGUGUGUAUGUGUGGAUAUUCAUAUAUAUAUAUAUUUGAGAUGGAGUUUUGCUCUUGUUGCCCAGGCUGGAGUGCAGUGGCACGAUCUCGGCUCACUGCAACCUCUGCCUCCAGGAUUCAAUUGAUUCUCCUGCCUCAGCCUCUCCAGUAGCUGGGAUUACAGGCGUGCACCACCACACCCGGCUAAUUUUUUGUAUUUUUAGUAGAGACGGGGUUUCAACAUGUUGGUCAGGCUGGUCUCAAACUCCUGACCUCAGGUGAUCCACCCACCUGUGCUUCCCGAAGUGCUAGGAUUACAGAUGAAAGCAAUCACGCCCGGCCUAUAUUCAUAUAUAUAUUGAGGGAAUGAAGUCACCUCUUCUAGGAAGCCUCCCCUUGCCCAAGAGCUUUGGGCCAACAUCUCUGAGCCCCUGCAGGCUUGAGGACUUCCUCUGCUGGGAUUCUGUGGAGCUGUGUCACCGUGGGUGUUGUCAUUGCCAGUCACUCUUCUGACUCAGCUGCCAGAAGAGUUCCUCGGCCCUGCCUCCAAAAUAUACACCCCGAAUCCAACUACUUCUGGCCACAUAUGCCACCCAUCCUUCUGCCACCAUCCCUCGUGUGGACUCCGCAGCCGUCUUCUGCCUGGUCUCAGGGCUCCUGCCUUCCAUUCUCCAUCAGGACCCAGAGGAAGCUUAAAACUGCAAGUCAAAGCCGGGCACGGUGG
This 1953-nucleotide long non-coding RNA is filed under the name Pan troglodytes (chimpanzee). Its description in RNAcentral is "long non-coding RNA NONPTRT006178". Lineage: Eukaryota; Metazoa; Chordata; Mammalia; Primates; Hominidae. The record is from RNAcentral.